Molecule: ribosomal RNA, 459 nt
Filed under: uncultured bacterium
Lineage: Bacteria
Description: partial 16S ribosomal RNA
Rfam family: Bacterial small subunit ribosomal RNA
Source: RNAcentral
CCUACGGGUGGCUGCAGUGAGGAAUAUUGGUCAAUGGCCGGAAGGCUGAACCAGCCAAGCCGCGUGAGGGAGGAAGGCGCAGAGCGUCGCAGACCUCUUUUGCCGGGGGACAAACCGCCGGACUCGUCCGGUCCUGAGGGUACCCGGAGAAAAAGCAUCGGCUAACUCCGUGCCAGCAGCCGCGGUAAUACGGAGGAUGCGAGCGUUAUCCGGAUUUAUUGGGUUUAAAGGGUGCGCAGGCGGGCCUUCAAGUCAGCGGUGAAAUCGCGGGGCUCAACCCCGCCGAGCCGUUGAAACUGGGGGCCUUGAGUGCGCGGGAGGCAUGCGGAAUGCGCGGUGUAGCGGUGAAAUGCAUAGAUAUCGCGCAGAACCCCGAUUGCGAAGGCAGCAUGCCGUGGCGCAACUGACGCUGAGGCACGAAAGCGCGGGGAUCGAACAGGAUUAGAUACCCUGGUAGUC